UGGGGUGCUAUACUGCAGUCGAACGCUUCUUUCCUCCCGAGUGCUUGCACUCAAUUGGAAAGAGGAGUGGCGGACGGGUGAGUAACACGUGGGUAACCUACCCAUCAGAGGGGGAUAACACUUGGAAACAGGUGCUAAUACCGCAUAACAGUUUAUGCCGCAUGGCAUAAGAGUGAAAGGCGCUUUCGGGUGUCGCUGAUGGAUGGACCCGCGGUGCAUUAGCUAGUUGGUGAGGUAACGGCUCACCAAGGCCACGAUGCAUAGCCGACCUGAGAGGGUGAUCGGCCACACUGGGACUGAGACACGGCCCAGACUCCUACGGGAGGCAGCAGUAGGGAAUCUUCGGCAAUGGACGAAAGUCUGACCGAGCAACGCCGCGUGAGUGAAGAAGGUUUUCGGAUCGUAAAACUCUGUUGUUAGAGAAGAACAAGGACGUUAGUAACUGAACGUCCCCUGACGGUAUCUAACCAGAAAGCCACGGCUAACUACGUGCCAGCAGCCGCGGUAAUACGUAGGUGGCAAGCGUUGUCCGGAUUUAUUGGGCGUAAAGCGAGCGCAGGCGGUUUCUUAAGUCUGAUGUGAAAGCCCCCGGCUCAACCGGGGAGGGUCAUUGGAAACUGGGAGACUUGAGUGCAGAAGAGGAGAGUGGAAUUCCAUGUGUAGCGGUGAAAUGCGUAGAUAUAUGGAGGAACACCAGUGGCGAAGGCGGCUCUCUGGUCUGUAACUGACGCUGAGGCUCGAAAGCGUGGGGAGCAAACAGGAUUAGAUACCCUGGUAGUCCACGCCGUAAACGAUGAGUGCUAAGUGUUGGAGGGUUUCCGCCCUUCAGUGCUGCAGCAAACGCAUUAAGCACUCCGCCUGGGGAGUACGACCGCAAGGUUGAAACUCAAAGGAAUUGACGGGGGCCCGCACAAGCGGUGGAGCAUGUGGUUUAAUUCGAAGCAACGCGAAGAACCUUACCAGGUCUUGACAUCCUUUGACCACUCUAGAGAUAGAGCUUUCCCUUUCGGGGACAAGUGACAGGUGGUGCAUGGUGUCGUCAGCUCGUGUCGUGAGAUGUUGGGUUAGUCCCGCACGAGCGCACCCUUAUGUAGUGCAUCAUUAGUGGCACUCUAGCGAGACUGCCGUGACAACCGAGAGGUGGGGAUGACGUCAUCAUCAUGCCCUUAUGACCUGGCUACCACUGCUUACAUUGGGAAGAUAACACAGAGUUGCGUUUAGAUACCUGCGAGAGGUCAUAUGUUCCAAAAUCAUCUCUCUCUC
RNAcentral lists this ribosomal RNA (1263 nucleotides) under Enterococcus faecalis. RNAcentral describes it as "bacterial SSU rRNA". It matches the Rfam family "Bacterial small subunit ribosomal RNA", at positions 40 to 1293 of the family's 1533-position model. Lineage: Bacteria; Bacillati; Bacillota; Bacilli; Lactobacillales; Enterococcaceae. The record is from RNAcentral.